This 547-nucleotide ribosomal RNA is filed under the name uncultured bacterium. Its description in RNAcentral is "bacterial SSU rRNA". It matches the Rfam family "Bacterial small subunit ribosomal RNA", at positions 355 to 896 of the family's 1533-position model. The record is from RNAcentral.
UGGGGAAUAUUGCGCAAUGGGGGGAACCCUGACGCAGCCAUGCCGCGUGAAUGAAGAAGGCCUUAGGGUUGUAAAGUUCUUUCGGUAUUGAGGAAGGUUGAUGUGUUAAUAGCACAUCAAAUUGACGUUAAAUACAGAAGAAGCACCGGCUAACUCCGUGCCAGCAGCCGCGGUAAUACGGAGGGUGCGAGCGUUAAUCGGAAUAACUGGGCGUAAAGGGCACGCAGGCGGUUAUUUAAGUGAGGUGUGAAAGCCCCGGGCUUAACCUGGGAAUUGCAUUUCAGACUGGGUAACUAGAGUACUUUAGGGAGGGGUAGAAUUCCACGUGUAGCGGUGAAAUGCGUAGAGAUGUGGAGGAAUACUGAAGGCGAAGGCAGCCCCUUGGGAAUGUACUGACGCUCAUGUGCGAAAGCGUGGGGAGCAAACAGGAUUAGAUACCCUGGUAGUCCACGCUGUAAACGCUGUCGAUUUGGGGGUUGGGGUUUAACUCUGGCGCCCGUAGCUAACGUGAUAAAUCGACCGCCUGGGGAGUACGGCCGCAAGGUUA